RNAcentral lists this unclassified non-coding RNA (805 nucleotides) under Fusarium oxysporum f. sp. cichorii. RNAcentral's name for it is "partial 28S-18S ribosomal RNA intergenic spacer". Lineage: Eukaryota; Fungi; Ascomycota; Sordariomycetes; Hypocreales; Nectriaceae. The record is from RNAcentral.
UCUCCGGCUGGCGGAUCUGACACUGUCGAAAUGAGAUGCGAGUGGUGUAGGGUAGGCUCUAGGGUAAGUAGAAUUCUAGUUUCGUCGCCGACAGUUUUCUUUGGGUGUAUGGUAGGUACAGGGUAGGCAAAUCUCUCUCGGGCCAGUACUUGUCUGGUGGUCGUGAGUCGAUUUUUUUGUUUUGCCAUACUAUUGAAUUUUGCGGAAAUUCAAAAGUGGCUCGGGAGUCCCCGCCUGGCGAGCGUCCGACUCGAACAUCGUCGGUGUACAUAUGAGAGGGAGUAAUCCGGCCCGGCCGGGGCCCAUCGCGAGCUGCCGGGUAGGUAAAAGUNAAAAANUUGUUAAGAGGCGCGGUGUCCGCGUGCUUGUAUUUGCGGGAGGGAAUUAUCUGGGGGUGCUGGGUAGCCGGGAAGACUUGGACGGAUCUGGCCCUGGAAUGGGUCUGGGCCUGGAUUCUGGAGUGGUGUAGGGUAGGCGUAGAUAGAUGAGUGGUGUAGGGUAGAUACAGGGUAGCCAGAAGUCUGGUAUAUAGUAUGGGGGUGUAGGGUAGGUCUGGACACCGUUUUCCACUUCGCCCUUCCCUUUAGUCAAGGGAGGACGAUCUUGGCUGGGACGGAGGUGUAGGGUAGGCUUAAUUUACUAUUACAUGAUCUGUGUCACUCUAGGGUAGGUGAAAAUCCCAUAUAUAUCUGAUCACAUUUGGUGAAGAGGUGGUUUGGCUGGUGAGAUGGACAAAAGUGCAAUGUAGAAUUAUAUGNGAUUUUGCAAAANUNGGUGNAAAUUGGGAAAUCGGUUUUCCNNACAG